This 645-nucleotide ribosomal RNA is filed under the name uncultured bacterium. Its description in RNAcentral is "bacterial SSU rRNA". It matches the Rfam family "Bacterial small subunit ribosomal RNA", at positions 188 to 848 of the family's 1533-position model. The record is from RNAcentral.
GCAUGACUUGAUUAUGAAAGAUUUAUCGCUUAUGGAUGGACUCGCGUCAGAUUAGAUAGUUGGUGAGGUAACGGCUCACCAAGUCAACGAUCUGUAGCCGAACUGAGAGGUUGAUCGGCCGCAUUGGGACUGAGACACGGCCCAGACUCCUACGGGAGGCAGCAGUGGGGAAUAUUGCGCAAUGGGGGCAACCCUGACGCAGCAACGCCGCGUGCAGGAAGAAGGUCUUCGGAUUGUAAACUGUUGUCGCAAGGGAAGAAGACAGUGACGGUACCUUGUGAGAAAGUCACGGCUAACUACGUGCCAGCAGCCGCGGUAAUACGUAGGUGACAAGCGUUGUCCGGAUUUACUGGGUGUAAAGGGCGCGUAGGCGGACUGUCAAGUCAGUCGUGAAAUACCGGGGCUUAACCCCGGGGCUGCGAUUGAAACUGACAGCCUUGAGUAUCGGAGAGGAAAGCGGAAUUCCUAGUGUAGCGGUGAAAUGCGUAGAUAUUAGGAGGAACACCAGUGGCGAAGGCGGCUUUCUGGACGACAACUGACGCUGAGGCGCGAAAGUGUGGGGAGCAAACAGGAUUAGAUACCCUGGUAGUCCACACCGUAAACGAUGGAUACUAGGUGUAGGAGGUAUCGACCCCUUCUGUGCCG